Dermatophagoides farinae (American house dust mite) is the source of this 328-nucleotide non-coding RNA. Lineage: Eukaryota; Metazoa; Arthropoda; Arachnida; Sarcoptiformes; Pyroglyphidae. The record is from RefSeq and is a predicted model, not a curated record.
UCCUUGAAUGAUCAAAAAAAAAAAUAGAUCAGCCAUUUAUAUCGGGAAAAAGAGAAAAGAAAACGACAAAGAACAACGAACCAUUUUUUCCCGUUGAUUUUGGCCAUUGUUGUUGUUGUUGUAAACAAGAGCAACCUGUCCGAAGGACUGAUCUGCUGAACAAUCCUCUCGAUAUAAUGAUGUAAGACAGAGUAUAAUUUACAAAACCAAAAAAAAAGAAAGAAAAUCAACGCCUGAUUUGUGAACCGGAAAAUCCUGUCGUAUCCAAUGGUCAUUAAUGUUGUUAUUAAUUAAUCGGAAAUAAAUGAAUGUCAAAGUGAAAAAAAAA